AACGCACCUUGCGCUCCUUGGUAUUCCGAGGAGCAUGCCUGUUUGAGUGUCAUUAAAUUCUCAACUUCAUCAGUUUUGUUAUGAAAUUGUGUGAAGCUUGGAUAAUGGGGGUUUGCAGAAUGCGUUACAGUGUACUGCUCCCCUUAAAUGAAUUAGCGAGUUCGAACUGGGCUCUGUCUAUUGGUGUGAUAAUUAUCUACGCCAUGGAUUGGGCUUAGACUUGCUUCUAACUGUCUGAAAAGACAACUCUUUUUGAAAAUUUGACCUCAAAUCAGGUAGGACUACCCGCUGAACUUAA
This 298-nucleotide unclassified non-coding RNA is filed under the name uncultured fungus. RNAcentral describes it as "partial contains 5.8S ribosomal RNA, internal transcribed spacer 2, and large subunit ribosomal RNA". The stretch from base 1 to 52 matches the Rfam family "5.8S ribosomal RNA", at positions 103 to 154 of the family's 154-position model. Lineage: Eukaryota; Fungi. The record is from RNAcentral.